Molecule: ribosomal RNA, 447 nt
Filed under: uncultured bacterium
Lineage: Bacteria
Description: bacterial SSU rRNA
Rfam family: Bacterial small subunit ribosomal RNA
Source: RNAcentral
UCCAGACUCCUACGGGAGGCAGCAGUGGGGGAUAUUGCACAAUGGGGGAAACCCUGAUGCAGCGACGCCGCGUGGGUGAAGAAGUAUUUCGGUAUGUAAAGCCCUAUCAGCAGGGAAGAAAGAAGACGGUACCUGACUAAGAAGCCCCGGCUAACUACGUGCCAGCAGCCGCGGUAAUACGUAGGGGGCGAGCGUUAUCCGGAUUCACUGGGUGUAAAGGGAGCGUAGACGGCCAUGCAAGCCAGGGGUGAAAGCCCGGGGCCCAACCCCGGGACUGCCCUUGGAACUGCAUGGCUGGAGUGCGGGAGGGGCAGGCGGAAUUCCUGGUGUAGCGGUGAAAUGCGUAGAUAUCAGGAGGAACACCAGUGGCGAAGGCGGCUUACUGGACUGUAACUGACGUUGAGGCUCGAAAGCGUGGGGAGCAAACAGGAUUAGAUACCCUUGUAA